AGCGGAGGAAAAGAAACCAACAGGGAUUGCCCCAGUAACGGCGAGUGAAGCGGCAACAGCUCAAAUUUGAAAUCUGGCCCCCGGGUCCGAGUUGUAAUUUGUAGAGGAUGCUUUUGGCGAGGUGCCUUCCGAGUUCCCUGGAACGGGACGCCAUAGAGGGUGAGAGCCCCGUCUGGUCGGACACCGAGCCUCUGUAAAGCUCCUUCGACGAGUCGAGUAGUUUGGGAAUGCUGCUCAAAAUGGGAGGUAUAUGUCUUCUAAAGCUAAAUAUUGGCCAGAGACCGAUAGCGCACAAGUAGAGUGAUCGAAAGAUGAAAAGCACUUUGAAAAGAGGGUUAAAAAGUACGUGAAAUUGUUGAAAGGGAAGCGCCUAUGACCAGACUUGGGCCCGGUGAAUCAUCCAGCGUUCUCGCUGGUGCACUUUGCCGGGCACAGGCCAGCAUCAGUUUGGCGCGGGGGAGAAAGGCUCUGGGAAUGUGGCUCCUCCGGGAGUGUUAUAGCCCACUGCGUAAUACCCUGCGCCGGACUGAGGUACGCGCAUUGCAAGGAUGCUGGCGUAAUGGUCAUCAGCGACCCGUCUUGAAACACGGACCAAGGAGUCGUCUUCGUAUGCGAGUGUUCGGGUGUCAAACCCCUACGCGUAAUGAAAGUGAACGCAGGUGAGAGCUUCGGCGCAUCAUCGACCGAUCCUGAUGUUCUCGGAUGGAUUUGAGUAAGAGCAUACGGGGCCGGACCCGAAAGAAGGUGAACUAUGCCUGUAUAGGGUGAAGCCAGAGGAAACUCUGGUGGAGGCUCGCAGCGGUUCUGACGUGCGAAUCGAUCGUCAAAUAUGGGCAUGGGGGCGAAAGACUAAUCGAACCUUCUAGUAGCUGGUUCG
This 877-nucleotide ribosomal RNA is filed under the name Akanthomyces dipterigenus. RNAcentral's name for it is "partial large subunit ribosomal RNA". It matches the Rfam family "Eukaryotic large subunit ribosomal RNA", at positions 49 to 958 of the family's 3401-position model. Lineage: Eukaryota; Fungi; Ascomycota; Sordariomycetes; Hypocreales; Cordycipitaceae. The record is from RNAcentral.